RNAcentral lists this ribosomal RNA (505 nucleotides) under uncultured bacterium. RNAcentral's name for it is "bacterial SSU rRNA". It matches the Rfam family "Bacterial small subunit ribosomal RNA", at positions 38 to 507 of the family's 1533-position model. The record is from RNAcentral.
GGCGGCGUGCCUAAUACAUGCAAGUCGAGCGCAGGAAACAAGCUGAUCCCUUCGGGGUGACGCUUGUGGAAUGAGCGGCGGACGGGUGAGUAACACGUGGCAACCUGCCUUGUAGACUGGGAUAACUCCGGGAAACCGGAGCUAAUACCGGAUGACCAACGGAAUCGCAUGAUUCUGUUGUUAAAAGUGGGGAUUUAUCCUCACACUACGAGAUGGGCCCGCGGCGCAUUAGCUAGUUGGUAAGGUAAUGGCUUACCAAGGCAACGAUGCGUAGCCGACCUGAGAGGGUGAUCGGCCACACUGGAACUGAGACACGGUCCAGACUCCUACGGGAGGCAGCAGUAGGGAAUCAUCCGCAAUGGGCGAAAGCCUGACGGUGCAACGCCGCGUGAACGAUGAAGGUUUUUCGGAUCGUAAAGUUCUGUUAUGAGGGAAGAACAAGUGCCGUUCGAAUAGGGCGGCACCUUGACGGUACCUCACGAGAAAGCCCCGGCGUAACUACGUA